GACGAACGCUGGCGGCGUGCUUAACACAUGCAAGUCGAACGGAAAGGCCCUGCUUUUGUGGGGUGCUCGAGUGGCGAACGGGUGAGUAACACGUGAGUAACCUGCCCUUGACUUUGGGAUAACUUCAGGAAACUGGGGCUAAUACCGGAUAGGAGCUCCUGCUGCAUGGUGGGGGUUGGAAAGUUUCGGCGGUUGGGGAUGGACUCGCGGCUUAUCAGCUUGUUGGUGGGGUAGUGGCUUACCAAGGCUUUGACGGGUAGCCGGCCUGAGAGGGUGACCGGCCACAUUAGGACUGAGAUACGGCCCAGACUCCUACGGGAGGCAGCAGUGGGGAAUAUUGCACAAUGGGCGGAAGCCUGAUGCAGCAACGCCGCGUGCGGGAUGACGGCCUUCGGGUUGGAAACCGCUUUCGCCUGUGACGAAGCGUGAGUGACGGUAAUGGGUAAAGAAGCACCGGCUAACUACGUG
This 468-nucleotide ribosomal RNA is filed under the name uncultured bacterium. RNAcentral describes it as "partial 16S ribosomal RNA". It matches the Rfam family "Bacterial small subunit ribosomal RNA", at positions 28 to 507 of the family's 1533-position model. The record is from RNAcentral.